Molecule: small nuclear RNA, 104 nt
Organism: Myotis myotis
Lineage: Eukaryota; Metazoa; Chordata; Mammalia; Chiroptera; Vespertilionidae
Source: RefSeq, a predicted model, not a curated record
GUGCUCACUUUGGUAGCACAUCUACUAAAAUUGGACCGAUACAGAGAUUAGCAUGGCCACUGUGAAAGGAUAACGCACAAAUUCAUGAAACAUUCCAUAAUAUU